CAAAUUGAGAACAUGGAAAACAGAUUGCAUUCAAUUUUUAAUUUAAGAAUGGAGAAUGAAACAUGUCUCUCAUUUUUUCAGGUUUCUCAACUCAGGGGAAGGACUUGUAGAUCAUUAACUGCACUGGAUACCUAACACAAGAGCUGGGUACAAUUUGGAUUGGAAUCACUUGGAAAAACAUUAUCAGAGGAAAACUCUGUGGGAGAAGAAGGCGAUUUACUGUCUCUCAGCCCAGCAUUCCCAAAAUACUGAUGCUUUUUGAUCCAGCAUGAGCUAAGACAACUUUAAUGAGGCCAGAGGCUUUUCACCCAAAAGCAGACCACAGGAAUUCUGAGAGUGAAGCUGAAUGAAGCCAUGGAACUGAGUCAGUACACCUUUCACGAGGUCUGAUGCGUAUCUAUGGCUUCCUGUGUUGCCACACGUGCAGUGUCUUUGAAGGUGACAGGAGGGGACGAAGGCCAAGCAUAACAAAGAACGAAUGGUCAAAGUGGAAAAAGUCUUCCAUAACUUUGGCUUCCAAAGUGCUCAGAAAAAGCUCCGUGUAUCUUAGCUCUCGCCCAGCUUUCCAGUUUGUUUCCAGAGCUCAGAGGAUAGAAUUGAUGUGGAGUAGCUCUAAACCCAAGAAGGGCUUGUAGUAAUGACACACAAAUAAAAACGUCCAGUUCAAGUUUAGAAGCUGCUCGAGAGCUCGGUGUUGAAGCCAGGAAGCUUUUCCAUCAGUAGGCCAUGCUAUUGCUGGUGGAUGGAAAAUUAUUUAGCUGAAAUCUUUCAUCUGAUGUUUUGCAAAUAUUGUCAUGCAAGGAGAUAAAAAAGUGUUUGUGGGGUUUUUUGUAUGCUCAAGGCACAUAAAUUAGAAAUUCUGCUAACUCAGGAUAAUUAGUAAGAAUAAAUAAGGAAGUAUGUAACCAGAGGAAAAGUAUUUAUGUGA
Non-coding RNA from Cyanistes caeruleus (blue tit), 928 nucleotides. The record is from RefSeq and is a predicted model, not a curated record. NCBI's taxonomy places the organism in Eukaryota, Metazoa, Chordata, Aves, Passeriformes, Paridae.